This 432-nucleotide ribosomal RNA is filed under the name Excirolana hirsuticauda. RNAcentral's name for it is "partial 12S ribosomal RNA". The record is from RNAcentral. Lineage: Eukaryota; Metazoa; Arthropoda; Malacostraca; Isopoda; Cirolanidae.
GGGGGGGGGGUGAAAUCCUUCCCAACGGGUGGAGGGGAGGCGGGUCAAACCCCCUAAAAUAAACCGGGAUUAAAUACCCCGCUAUAUAGGGGGGCCUACAAGGGGGGGUAGUAACGGCUAUGUCCCCCAAACCCAAAAAACUUGGCGGCGGCCUAUCCAUCUAGAGGAGCCUGCCCUAUAAUCGAUACCACCCGUUGGCCCCAACCCCCGUGUAUGUUCGUAUACCGCCGUCUANCCUCUAACCCCUAGGUUGAAGCGUAAAGGCCCCCCCCAAAAACAGGUCAAGGUGCGGCGAAUCGGGGGGGAAAGGUGGGCUACAAUUCCCCUGGGGCGGACCCCCCUCCCAGGAGGGGGGUUAAAAUGGAUUUAGCAUUACCGGGGGGUUAGCCCCCCCCCGUGAACAGGAUUUGGGCCGUGUACAUAUCCCCCUUC